This 242-nucleotide long non-coding RNA is filed under the name Nicotiana benthamiana. RNAcentral describes it as "long non-coding RNA (NBEN_LNC029694)". Lineage: Eukaryota; Viridiplantae; Streptophyta; Magnoliopsida; Solanales; Solanaceae. The record is from RNAcentral.
AAAACACCAAGUCUCGUUACUCCAUCUAUCCAAAUCUUGACAUUCAUAGGCCAAUUGGUUUUCCCACACUGGAGAUGAAAUACGGAAUCUCAGAAUCAUGCACUGAGAGAACACCCUUUAAAAUCAUUCAUUGCCCCACAUAUAGGCAAGUAUCCUACUAUCAUGUCUAUAAUGCGCGAUAACCAAUCAUGAGCAAUCACACCGAUUUGUGCAUAGUUUCAAAGCUCUCAAGAAUAUUGUUA